GACGAACGCUGGCGGUGUGCUUAACACAUGCAAGUCGAACGGUAAGGCCCUUUCGGGGGUACACGAGUGGCGAACGGGUGAGUAACACGUGAGUAACCUGCCCUCAUCUCUGGGAUAACAGUCGGAAACGGUUGCUAAUACUGGAUAUGAGCUUGCAAGGCAUCUUGUGGGUUGGAAAGAUUUUUUGGUUGGGGAUGGACUCGCGGCCUAUCAGCUUGUUGGUGAGGUAGUGGCUCACCAAGGCUUCGACGGGUAGCCGGCCUGAGAGGGCGACCGGCCACAUUGGGACUGAGAUACGGCCCAGACUCCUACGGGAGGCAGCAGUGGGGAAUAUUGCACAAUGGACGGAAGUCUGAUGCAGCAACGCCGCGUGCGGGAUGACGGCCUUCGGGUUGUAAACCGCUUUCAAUUGUGACGAAGCUUUUUGUGACGGUAGCAUAGAAGA
RNAcentral lists this ribosomal RNA (445 nucleotides) under Arachnia propionica. Its description in RNAcentral is "bacterial SSU rRNA". It matches the Rfam family "Bacterial small subunit ribosomal RNA", at positions 28 to 488 of the family's 1533-position model. Lineage: Bacteria; Bacillati; Actinomycetota; Actinomycetes; Propionibacteriales; Propionibacteriaceae. The record is from RNAcentral.